AGAAUCAACGCUGGCGGCGUGCCUAACACAUGCAAGUCGCACGAGAAAGUGGAGCAAUCCACGAGUAAAGUGGCGCACGGGUGAGUAACACGUGAAUAAUCUACCUCCGAGUGGGGAAUAAACUGAGAGAAAUCUUAGCUAAUACCGCAUAAUACCCACGGGUCAAAGCAGCAAUGCGCUUGGAGAGGAGUUCGCGGCCGAUUAGCUAGUUGGCGGGUAAUGGCCCACCAAGGCGAUGAUCGGUA
RNAcentral lists this ribosomal RNA (245 nucleotides) under uncultured bacterium. RNAcentral's name for it is "partial small subunit ribosomal RNA". It matches the Rfam family "Bacterial small subunit ribosomal RNA", at positions 26 to 285 of the family's 1533-position model. The record is from RNAcentral.